This 29-nucleotide non-coding RNA is filed under the name Homo sapiens (human). The record is from RNAcentral. Lineage: Eukaryota; Metazoa; Chordata; Mammalia; Primates; Hominidae.
UGCUGAGUGUCUCAAGCAGCACUGACAGC